RNAcentral lists this ribosomal RNA (497 nucleotides) under uncultured bacterium. RNAcentral describes it as "partial 16S ribosomal RNA". It matches the Rfam family "Bacterial small subunit ribosomal RNA", at positions 28 to 507 of the family's 1533-position model. The record is from RNAcentral.
GACGAACGCUGGCGGCGUGCCUAAUACAUGCAAGUUGAGCGCUGAAGGUUGGUACUUGUACCGACUGGAUGAGCAGCGAACGGGUGAGUAACGCGUGGGGAAUCUGCCUUUGAGCGGGGGACAACAUUUGGAAACGAAUGCUAAUACCGCAUAAAAACUUUAAACACAAGUUUUAAGUUUGAAAGAUGCAAUUGCAUCACUCAAAGAUGAUCCUGCGUUGUAUUAGCUAGUUGGUGAGGUAAAGGCUCACCAAGGCGAUGAUACAUAGCCGACCUGAGAGGGUGAUGGGCCACAUUGGGACUGAGACACGACCCAAACUCCUACGGGAGGCAGCAGUAGGGAAUCUUCGGCAAUGGACGAAAGUCUGACCGAGCAACGCCGCGUGAGUGAAGAAGGUUUUCGGAUCGUAAAACUCUGUUGGUAGAGAAGAACGUUGGUGAGAGUGGAAAGCUCAUCAAGUGACGGUAACUACCCAGAAAGGGACGGCUAACUACGUG